AAUACGUUCCCGGACCUUGUACACACCGCCCGUCAAGCCAUGGGAGUUGGGUGUACCUGAAGACGAUAACCGCAAGGAGUUGUCCAAGAUAAAACCAGUAACUGGGGCU
This 109-nucleotide ribosomal RNA is filed under the name uncultured bacterium. Its description in RNAcentral is "partial 16S ribosomal RNA". It matches the Rfam family "Bacterial small subunit ribosomal RNA", at positions 1365 to 1482 of the family's 1533-position model. The record is from RNAcentral.